RNAcentral lists this transfer RNA (62 nucleotides) under Cryptocephalus flavolimbatus. RNAcentral's name for it is "tRNA-Glu". It matches the Rfam family "tRNA". From Rfam's summary of the family: Transfer RNA (tRNA) molecules are approximately 80 nucleotides in length. Their secondary structure includes four short double-helical elements and three loops (D, anti-codon, and T loops). Further hydrogen bonds mediate the characteristic L-shaped molecular structure. tRNAs have two regions of fundamental functional importance: the anti-codon, which is responsible for specific mRNA codon recognition, and the 3' end, to which the tRNAs corresponding amino acid is attached (by aminoacyl-tRNA synthetases). tRNAs cope with the degeneracy of the genetic code in two manners: having more than one tRNA (with a specific anti-codon) for a particular amino acid; and 'wobble' base-pairing, i.e. permitting non-standard base-pairing at the 3rd anti-codon position. Lineage: Eukaryota; Metazoa; Arthropoda; Insecta; Coleoptera; Chrysomelidae. The record is from RNAcentral.
UGUUUUUAUAGUUUAAAAAAAACACUACAUUUUCAAUGUAGAAUUGAGGUCCCCUCUUUAAA